RNAcentral lists this ribosomal RNA (467 nucleotides) under uncultured bacterium. Its description in RNAcentral is "partial 16S ribosomal RNA". It matches the Rfam family "Bacterial small subunit ribosomal RNA", at positions 28 to 507 of the family's 1533-position model. The record is from RNAcentral.
GACGAACGCUGGCGGCGUGCUUAACACAUGCAAGUCGAACGGAAAGGCCUCUUUCGGGGGGUACUCGAGUGGCGAACGGGUGAGUAACACGUGAGUAACCUGCCCUUGACUUUGGGAUAACUUCAUGAAACUGGGGCUAAUACCGUAUAGAAGCUCCUGCUGCAUGGUGGGGGUUGGAAAGUUUCGGCGGUUGGGGAUGGACUCGCGGCUUAUCAGCUUGUUGGUGGGGUAGUGGCUUACCAAGGCUUUGACGGGUAGCCGGCCUGAGAGGGUGACCGGCCACAUUGGGACUGAGAUACGGCCCAGACUCCUACGGGAGGCAGCAGUGGGGAAUAUUGCACAAUGGGUGGAAGCCUGAUGCAGCAACGCCGUGUGCGGGAUGACGGCCUUCGGGUUGUAAACCGCUUUCGCUCAUGACGAAGCGUUGUGUGACGGUAGUGGGUAAAGAAGCACCGGCUAACUACGUG